CCCCGCACCUCCGGGCGUGGAUUCCUUUGAACUCGCUCUUUGUCCUCGCCUGCGUGGGCCUUUUUCUUGGUAGUGUUUUCCAGUUGCUCGGCUGUGUCUCCAGGUCCUCACAUUCUAUCUUCUGCCUGACCUACUCCUCCUAGGAAGGCUUUCCAUUGGGCCUUCUCAACGUGAGGUAGGCUUUCCAGUGAGUCUUCUCAACGUGAGGUAGCCUCCCUUGAGACCCAGGGCAAUGAAAACCGGAUUGCAGCCACAGGGCCGAGCAAUGAAUGCCCUUGCAUGUACAGAACCCUUGAUACAUCCCUCCAGCAAUCCCCUCUUUGCUUCGUAAGUCUUCCAGGAGGCCUUGAAAGAAGGACAGAGAGACCACCAUUGUGUUUAGACUCCACCAAAGGGCAGCGUGUGACCUUGCAAUACUCCCCAAGCCGUUCUCCCUUCCGGACAUAGGAAACGUUUAAGCCCACCCUAUGGGUUUAAAGCAGCCAUUAAACUAUGGUACCAAA
Molecule: long non-coding RNA, 503 nt
Organism: Mesocricetus auratus (golden hamster)
Lineage: Eukaryota; Metazoa; Chordata; Mammalia; Rodentia; Cricetidae
Exons: 2
Source: RefSeq, a predicted model, not a curated record